Molecule: long non-coding RNA, 2441 nt
Organism: Rosa rugosa (rugosa rose)
Lineage: Eukaryota; Viridiplantae; Streptophyta; Magnoliopsida; Rosales; Rosaceae
Exons: 10
Source: RefSeq, a predicted model, not a curated record
CGAGAACCGAUUCCUGAUAUUGGAGGUGGCAACAUCGCAGACUUAAUCUGCGAUUUGAUGCCAUAAUAGAAAGCUUCAUCGGCUAGUUCUUGCUUGACGAAUCGGCAAACCGUGGAAGGGAGACUGUCAGAUCUUCAGGACCUUUACGAUUUUGCAGUUUCCUUCUGUUUCUGGUCUCUUCCAUCGCUGUCUCCUGCAUGCUCUCAUCCUUAAUUGACAACAGUUCUUUCUGUUUCGAUUGCUAAAUCAAGUUCGAUUGAUUGCGAAGAGGAAAGACAGCGUGGGUAAAGCUGCAAGGCGAUGCAAAAACCGAAAGCAGUUCUCUUUAGUUCCUCCCAUUCAGAACCUUACUAUAGAUUCAGCAUUGAAAGGUCUUUGCUUGAUCGCGAAGGACUGUGAGAAAGGAACCUUACUAUGGAUGAACACUUGUCAUAAGAACAGUACCCAAGUUCAUAUGAACCAUUCACCCAUUUGGGUUCUCAAAUUAGCAGCUUUUUCAUCAUCGGGUGUUGAAUAUUAAUCAGUUUAGGAAGCAACGAUGGGAAUGACGAGAAAACAAAGAGGAAAGAACUACAGAAGCAGCCAACAUGGAGGAUCACAAGUAAUUAUGACAAACAACUUUAAUUAUGACAACAAACUUGGAGGAGGAGGAUUUGAAAGUGUCUACUGGGGUCAGCUUUGGGAUGGAUCACAAGAUAUAUCUUUAGGAGUCUUUGGGAAUUACUUGGAUGUCUUCCUGUUUAUUUCGAAAACGUAUUUUAAUUGUCAUUUCUAGCCUGUCAAAAAAAGAAAGAAAGAAAAGUCUAUGGCUUCUAACGUAUGGCAUACGACUUUCAUUAUUGAUUCGUAUUCCAGCUUUCAUUCAUAAGGCUGGCAAGAACUCCUGGGUGAAAAGCCUCAGUAUCUAACCGUAGCUUACAGCUUAUAGUUGUUGAAAAGAAAGUUGGUUUCGGGGGUUCAUUGAUUAGUGCCCCUUCGGUGAUGGUAAGGUUGGGACUGCGGUCGUCUGUCUCCGCUUUGCCACAAAUCUGAAAGAAGGUUGUUGCGAUAAUGACAUCUGGUUUGUCUUUAAAAUGUGUGGGAAUACUGCUAUAAUUUUCUGUGGCUGCAAAGCCCAAUCAAUAUUUUAAGUGUAAUCCAGGUAUUAGAAUGGAAUGAGUAAAUUGAUCAGAGUAGGCUCAGUUGAUGAUAAAUUUCCUAGAAUUUGGUUAAUGCAUAUUGUUGAUUAAGUAAGGUUGUUUUUGGCCAUGUUUGAUGCGCGUUUUAGAGAAGUAAAUGUAUAAAUGUUGUCACUUAACUGCAAACGAUGUUUUCAUGGUAAUUGAGAUCACUUUCACUUUACCUAAUUUAAUUUAAAGACUUCAACCUUUGUAGUUAACAAUAUUUUUUUUGUUUUUGGCAGGAUGAAAUGAAGAAUUUCACCCCAUUGAUUGUGGAUAUAACCUGCCAUGGGUCAAUGGCCACGUUUGAACAUGUUAGUUUAUCUCAGUAUCUGCCUUUACAUCAGUAUUAGCUCUUGAAGCUUCAGGAUAUUAUGGGACUCUUACACAGUCUCACACACACAUUUUUUGUUCCUUAUUCCAACUACCUCCAUCUUCAGUUCGAAAGGAGUUCACACAUAUAUUCUCCUUCCUCAAUGUUCAGUUAUUCAACAGCCUUCUAUUACGACGGGAGUGCUGUUCGUUUAGUAAUGGGGAAUAUAUAAGAGCUGGUUUGGCUGAGUUAGAGCAUUGCUGCAAUGAAGCAACAGAUGUAUGCAGGCUCAGCUUGGGAUGAACUCGAGCAUAUUAGGCAAGCCAUUGGAUUCCUGGCAAAUGCCCAUUUCAGCUUUGGACCUCUGUGUCAAUAUCUAUCUGUAAGCUACUUGGAUCGCUUCCUUUUGGCCUUUGAAAAUACCUUAUGCAGAAUGGCAAAGUUUGGACUAUGCAAUAGUUGGCUAUGGCAUGUUUGCCCCUUGUGGCCAAAAUGGAGGAGAUUAAUGUCCCACUCUCCCUUGAUUUACAGGUGGCCAGGUCAAAAUAUGUAUUCGAGGCUAUAACUAUUCAAAGAAUGGAGCUACUGGUUUUGAGCACAUUGAGAUGGAGAAUGCAAGCAGUUGGUCCAUUUAUCUGAACUAUUCUGAUUUAGUUGCUGAGACAAGAGGGUUGUUUCCCUACUAGAAAGAACCCAGUCUCAACCCUGAAAUGUUGCACUUGAACAUUUGUCUGCAAUUUUGUGUUUAUGUAGGUGCUUCUGUUCAACGAUUCGUUUUUGGUUGAACAAAAUUAUGUUUUUACAACUGAGGGUCAUCCCUUUCCGGUAUUGCUUCUACCAAAGUGCAUACUUUGUUAUUCUUCAAGACAGUUGCUUUACUUUUACAAUAUGGCUUUGCAUCUGUAAGUUAUAUUGCAGAAUGAUACCAGCUUUUGUAAUAUGUAAAACAAUAACAUAUUUGGUUAACA